UUAGGUUAAGUUAUGAAGGGCGCAUGGUGAAUGCCUUGGUACUAGGAGCCGAUGAAGGACGGGACUAACACCGAUAUGCUUCGGGGAGCGGUAAGUACGCUUUGAUCCGGAGAUUUCCGAAUGGGGAAACCUAAUCAGCUUAGUCGCUGAUUGCUUGACUAGUGAAUACAUAGCUAGCAAGAGGUAGACGCAGUGAACUGAAACAUCUUAGUAGCUGCAGGAAGAGAAAGAAAUAUCGAUUCCCUGAGUAGCGGCGAGCGAAAAGGGAAGAGCCCAAACCAACAAGCUUGCUUGUUGGGGUUGUAGGACUGAACAUUAGAGUUACCAAAGUGCGACGUAGUCGCAACAGUUGGGAAGCUGUGCCAUAGAGGGUGAAAGCCCAGUAC
RNAcentral lists this ribosomal RNA (386 nucleotides) under Limosilactobacillus reuteri. RNAcentral's name for it is "bacterial LSU rRNA". It matches the Rfam family "Bacterial large subunit ribosomal RNA", at positions 1 to 378 of the family's 2925-position model. The record is from RNAcentral. Lineage: Bacteria; Bacillati; Bacillota; Bacilli; Lactobacillales; Lactobacillaceae.